RNAcentral lists this ribosomal RNA (651 nucleotides) under uncultured archaeon. RNAcentral's name for it is "bacterial SSU rRNA". It matches the Rfam family "Archaeal small subunit ribosomal RNA", at positions 508 to 1157 of the family's 1478-position model. The record is from RNAcentral.
GCCUAAAGCGUCCGUAGCCGGCUCUGUAAGUUUUCGGUUAAAUCCAUAUGCUCAACAUAUGGGCCGCCGGGAAUACUGCAUAGCUAGGGAGUGGGAGAGGUAGACGGUACUCCGUAGGAAGGGGUAAAAUCCUUUGAUCUAUGGAUGACCACCUGUGGCGAAGGCGGUCUACCAGAACACGUUCGACGGUGAGGGAUGAAAGCUGGGGGAGCAAACCGGAUUAGAUACCCGGGUAGUCCCAGCUGUAAACUAUGCAAACUCAGUGAUGCAUUGGCUUGUGGCCAGUGCAGUGCCGCAGAGAAGUCGUUAAGUUUGCCGCCUGGGAAGUACGUACGCAAGUAUGAAACUUAAAGGAAUUGGCGGGGGAGCACCACAAGGGGUGAAGCCUGCGGUUUAAUUGGAGUCAACGCCAGAAAUCUUACCCGGAGAGACAGCAGGAUGAAGGUCAAGCUGAAGACUUUACCAGACAAGCUGAGAAGUGGUGCAUGGCCGUCGCCAGCUCGUGCCGUGAGGUGUCCUGUUAAGUCAGGUAACGAGCGAGAUCCUUGCCUCUAGUUGCCACCAUUACUCUCAGGAGUAGUGGGGCGAAUUAGCGGGACUGCCGUAGUUAAUACGGAGGAAGGAGAGGGCCACGGCAGGUCAGUAUGCCCC